CCUACGGGGGGCAGCAGUGGGGAAUAUUGCGCAAUGGCCGAAAGCCUGACGCAGCGACGCCGCGUGAGGGAUGAAGGUCUUCGGCUCGUAAACCUCUGUCAGCAGGGAAGCACGGUCACUGUGCUAAUCAGCAGUGAAUUGACGGUACCUGCAAAGGAAGCACAGGCUAACUCCGUGCCAGCAGCCGCGGUAAUACGGAGGGUGCGAGCGUUAAUCGGAAUUACUGGGCGUAAAGCGGUCGGAGGCGGUAUGUCAAGUCAAGGGUGAAAUCCCCGUGCUCAACGUGGGAACUGCCUUUGAAACUGGCAAACUGGAGUGGGUGAGAGGUAAGUGGAAUGCCAGGUGUAGGGGUGAAAUCCGUAGAUAUCUGGAGGAACAUCAGUGGCGAAGGCGACUAUCUGGCACAUAACUGACGCUGAGGAGCGAAAGCGUGGGUAGCAAACAGGAUUAGAUACCCGGGUAGUC
This 465-nucleotide ribosomal RNA is filed under the name uncultured bacterium. RNAcentral describes it as "partial 16S ribosomal RNA". It matches the Rfam family "Bacterial small subunit ribosomal RNA", at positions 338 to 795 of the family's 1533-position model. The record is from RNAcentral.